RNAcentral lists this ribosomal RNA (492 nucleotides) under uncultured bacterium. RNAcentral's name for it is "partial 16S ribosomal RNA". It matches the Rfam family "Bacterial small subunit ribosomal RNA", at positions 29 to 507 of the family's 1533-position model. The record is from RNAcentral.
AGUGAACGCUGGCGGUAGGCCUAACACAUGCAAGUCGAACGGCAGCACAGUAAGAGCUUGCUCUUACGGGUGGCGAGUGGCGGACGGGUGAGGAAUAAAUCGGAAUCUACUUUUUCGUGGGGGAUAACGUAGGGAAACUUACGCUAAUACCGCAUACGACCUACGGGUGAAAGCAGGGGAUCUUCGGACCUUGCGCGAUUGAAUGAGCCGAUGUCGGAUUAGCUAGUUGGCGGGGUAAAGGCCCACCAAGGCGACGAUCCGUAGCUGGUCUGAGAGGAUGAUCAGCCACACUGGAACUGAGACACGGUCCAGACUCCUACAGGAGGCAGCAGUGGGGAAUAUUGGACAAUGGGCGCAAGCCUGAUCCAGCCAUACCGCGUGGGUGAAGAAGGCCUUCGGGUUGUAAAGCCCUUUUGUUGGGAAAGAAAAGCAGCAGGUUAAUACCCCGCUGUUCUGACGGUACCCAAAGAAUAAGCACCGGCUAACUUCGUG